This 234-nucleotide long non-coding RNA is filed under the name Hordeum vulgare. RNAcentral describes it as "long non-coding RNA (HVUL_LNC011067)". The record is from RNAcentral. Lineage: Eukaryota; Viridiplantae; Streptophyta; Magnoliopsida; Poales; Poaceae.
CCACUAUCCAGCACACAUCUAGUGUAUUAAGUUCAUGGAGAAACAGAGUAAUGCUUUAAGAACGAUGACAUGAUGUAGACAAGAUAUAUUCAUGUAGGAAUAGACCCCAUCGUUUUAUCCUUAAUAACAACGAUAUAUGCGUGUCAUGUCUCCUCCUGUCACUGAGAUUGAGCACCGCAAGAUCGAACCCAUAACAGAUCACAUCUUCCCAUUGCAAGAUAAAAAUAACAAAAC